This 165-nucleotide non-coding RNA is filed under the name Planktothrix paucivesiculata PCC 9631. The record is from RNAcentral. Lineage: Bacteria; Bacillati; Cyanobacteriota; Cyanophyceae; Oscillatoriales; Microcoleaceae.
UUGUCAACUAUAGUCUAUGGUAUAAUUUCCUAGCUUGUUGUUGGGAAAGUCCGGUGAGAUUCCGUUACUGUGCCGCAACUGUAAUCAAGGAAAAAAUAAUUGGAUUCUACCUUUUUACCUUUUCCCUUGCGAGUCAGAAUGCCAAUUUCAAGCGGUUCAAGAUUG